Molecule: ribosomal RNA, 563 nt
Filed under: Ambrosiella xylebori
Lineage: Eukaryota; Fungi; Ascomycota; Sordariomycetes; Microascales; Ceratocystidaceae
Description: eukaryotic LSU rRNA
Rfam family: Eukaryotic large subunit ribosomal RNA
Source: RNAcentral
GAACUUAAGCAUAUCAAUAAGCGGAGGAAAAGAAACCAACAGGGAUUGCCCUAGUAACGGCGAGUGAAGCGGCAACAGCUCAAAUUUGAAAUCUGGCUACUUUGUAGUCCGAGUUGUAAUUUGUAGAGGAUGCUUUUGGUGAGGUGCUUUCUGAGUUCCCUGGAACGGGACGCCAGAGAGGGUGAGAGCCCCGUACAGUUAGCAACCGAUCCUUUGUAUAGCUCCUUCGACGAGUCGAGUAGUUUGGGAAUGCUGCUCUAAAUGGGAGGUAUAUCUCUUCUAAAGCUAAAUAUAGGCUAGAGACCGAUAGCGCACAAGUAGAGUGAUCGAAAGAUGAAAAGCACUUUGAAAAGAGAGUUAAACAGCACGUGAAAUUGUUGAAAGGGAAGCGCCUAUGACCAGACUUGUUUCUAUCAGUUUUGGUAGUUUUCGGACUGCUUUACUCUGUUAGUACAGGCCAACAUCAGUUUGUUGUCGGGGAGAAAGGCUUAGGGAAUGUGGCUCCCUCGGGAGUGUUAUAGAUCUUUGCAUAAUACCCUUCGGCAGACUGAGGACCGCGCUUC